RNAcentral lists this ribosomal RNA (479 nucleotides) under uncultured bacterium. RNAcentral's name for it is "SSU rRNA". It matches the Rfam family "Bacterial small subunit ribosomal RNA", at positions 26 to 523 of the family's 1533-position model. The record is from RNAcentral.
AGGAUGAACGCUGGCGGCGUGCCUAACACAUGCAAGUCGAACGUCCUGUCUCGCAAGAGGCAGGGAGUGGCGGACGGGUGAGUACCACGUGGGUCAUCUACCGUGAGGUGAGGAAUACCGGCGAGAAAUCGCCGACAAGACCGCAUAGGCUCGAUGCAAGUCGAGCAAAGCUCUUUCGAGAGAGGGAGCGCCACACGAGGAGCCUGCGCCCGAUUAGCUAGCUGGUGGAGUAACGGUUCACCAGGGCGACGAUCGGUAGUUGGUCUGAGAGGACGAUCAGCCACACUGGGAUUGAGAACGGCCCAGACUCCUACGGGGGGCAGCAGUGAGGAAUUUUCGUCAAUGGGGGCAACCCUGAACGAGCAACGCCGCGUGCAGGAAGAAGGUUUUCGGAUCGUAAACUGCUUUUCGUCGGGGAAGAGAACGGACGGUACCCGAGGAAUCAGCCCCGGCUAACUACGCGCCAGCAGCCGCGGUAA